This is a long non-coding RNA of Lycium barbarum (goji berry), 4217 nucleotides long. RefSeq lists it as uncharacterized. The record is from RefSeq and is a predicted model, not a curated record. The transcript has 11 exons. NCBI's taxonomy places the organism in Eukaryota, Viridiplantae, Streptophyta, Magnoliopsida, Solanales, Solanaceae.
UCCCCUAAUUUGAAUUUUCAAUUUGAUGAGUCUAGAUGUUGUCUUUUCAAUUCACAUGUUUGACUUAUUCGCAAAAUGGAAAAUGUCUGAUUCAACCUCAUUAAAAGUCCUCUUUGCCUAAUUUUUGGGGCUAUUUGUCUGCCCUUUAGUUUACGUUUGGUGCACACGAGGCAAAAUAACAAUUUAAUUUCUGUGCACUGACAAUAUAAUAAAUUAUUUAUAUUAGUAAUAUAACUUAAUUUGUCAUAACAGGUUAUUUACUAUUUGUUUUAGGUACUAAUUAACAGUAUUAAAUAGAGUUAAUUACACUGUAUGUUAAUUGAGGCUCAAUUACAACCAAAUUGGGCUCAUAUUUGAAGUUCUUACCCGCAAUAGCUCAUAUUCAGUGUAAACUUAAUUUACUGUACACUCUGUUAACCCAUUACACUUAAAAGAACGGGAAAAAAUCAUAGAAAAAGGAAGGGACCCCAAUUCCGUUACUUUCUCUUCUUUGUUCCUACUUCUUCUUCACGAUUUCAACUUCAAGCUCAGUAUGAAGGUCAAAAUGUCUGCAUCUAGAAGUUGUUCGAAGAUUGUCGGUAGAGGAAUUAAAUACAAUGCUGACACAUCAAGCAAUUUGCCUUCGACUCCUGGUGUUGCAAAUGAUGACGAUUUCGAGUCCCCUGUUGUUCUUACAAAGAGUUGUCAACAAGAAACAAAGCAAAUCACCUGCUCACAAACGAAGAAGGUUAAGAAUAUCAAGCCGCGGACUAAGAAAUGUGGUCGACCUGAGAAAGCUAAAGUGAGGUUGAACUUUGUUGAUGAAGAUGAUGCUGCCAAAAAGAAAGAAAAAAAGAGAAAGUUCGUCAAUGUUGCUGAAUGUAGUUCUUAUGCAUUAUCGAAAGAACAAAGGGAAUCUAUUCGAUGUAAAUUUAUGAAAGAAAAUCUCAGUUGAAGGUUGGUAACUUCUAUAUACAACCGAAUGAACAUUUUCGGACUAGGAUUAGUUGUGAUACCAAGACUGAUAUUGUCGGCUUUUUGAGGGAAUACUUAAGUGAUACGCAGCUUCAAAUCUUCCGUGAUAGUUAUUUUGGAUAUUUCUUAGACCUGCCUCCUUUUAAGAUUCAGAACCAGCUUAUAUAUUGCAUGUUAUUGAGGGAGGUUGUCCCCGGUGUGUUAAGAGAGUUGUGGAUUAAACUCAACGGUUGUAUAUUGAGUUUUGGUAUUGGAGAGUUUGCUGUUAUUACUGGUUUGAAGUGUGUUGAAGAUGAUGCAACUAUGUAUGACAAACCAAGCACCAGUAAGUUGAUGGAAACGUAUUUUCCAGAAAACACAUCAAUAACGAGGGAGCAGUUGCUCACUCGCUUUAAGGAAAAGGAAUGGAAGUCAGAUGAUGAUGCGUUCAAGAUGAGUUUGAUGGUAAUCAUCCACCAUUUCUUAUUCUCGAAUACCAAUGAUCACUCUAUCUCCAAAGCAGAUUUUGAUAUCAUUGAAAGUGGUGAAUAUCAGACUUAUGCUUGGGGGAAAAAAUGCUUUGAAGAGAUUCUCAAAACAACAAGGGAUAAACAGUGUGAGUUUUUGAUAAUGUGUAUGGCUUGGAGGGUUCCCGCUUGCACUACAGACUUGGUUUUUCGAAUGUUGCUCUCCAGUCGAUAAAAAACUCGCUGUUCGUAUUGGCAAUAAUGUGCCACGUAUUCUUAACUGGAAAGUGAAUGAUUCUCCGACGUAUACGUUCUUGACUGAGGAUGUGCUCAUGCCUAGUAUUGAUAAAAUAAAGUACUGCAACAUUUCUCCUACCACUGAGGAAAAAAUAAACUUGAAAAUUGCUGCAUUCUUUGAAGAUAUCAAUGCCGACCAUGUUUCUUCACGGGGUUUGCCUGUUUUUCAUAAUGAAGACUCUAACGUUUCACCCCUACCACAUCCUCAGAAUAUGGAGCAGCCUAAGCAACCUCAUCCUCAAAAUAAGGAGCAACAACCCGUAUUGAGACGCGAUCCUUUUGGGAGCAGUAAUGGGUUGACGGCUGAAGUUGCUCAGUUGAGAAAUGACGUUUCAGAGGCACUGCAUCUUUGAUAUCUUUGUAGGUUGUCAGUUGUUUUUUUUUUGGUAUACAAAUGCUUGUUAAUUUAAUUUAUGUUGUUUUCCUUUUCCUAGCUUACUGGUAAAGUUGAGGCGCUCAACAUUACAUCGUAUCUUCCUUUGGAAUCAUAUUCAAGCAUCUGAAAAUUAAGCAACCUAGUGAUCAAGGCAAUGCUGAUGAGAACGGUACAUCUGAUCAAGGCAAUGAUGGGUUUCACAAUAAUGAGUAUGUUCCACCUCCUUCCCCCCUCUCCCCUCCAGAACAAGCGCAUGAUCCAAAUAUGCAAGGUGACCAAACAACAUCAAGUGUCAAGGAAAAUAAAGAGGGUACUGAUGUUCCCCCCUCCCCCCCCCCCCCCCCCCCCCCCGGAGCACGUGGAUGACCUAAACUUGUGAUCUGACUAAAAUGCAUCAUGUGUCAAGGGAAAUCAGCAAAUUACUGAUGGUCUUCUUGUUGUAGCAAGUGAUGGUGUUGAGCCCCCCCGAGCAAGUGCAUAAAGUAAACAUGCAACCUGACCAAACAAAAUCAAGUGUCAAGGAAAAUGAGGAAGUUACUGAUGGUCAUCUUGUGGAAGCAGUUGAGGACGAUCCCUGGUGUGGUAUUACUUGAGCAAGUGCAUAAUCAGCAAAUUACUGAUGGUCUUCCUGCAAGUGAUGGUGUUGAGCCCCCCGAGCAAGUGCAUGAAGUAAAUAUGCAACGUGACAAAACAAAAUCAAGUGUCAAGGAAAAUGAGGAAGUUACUAAUGGUCAUCUUGUGGAAGCAGUUGAUGGUGUCAAGGACGAUCCCUGGUGUGGUAUUACUGAUGAAGACUUUGCCAAUAUAAAGAUGUCCUAGGUUGUGCUCCCUAGACCUUGGGAUAUUAGUGAUGAAGAGGUUGCUAAGAUAAAGAUGUCCCGGAUUGGGCUUCCUAGACCACUCAUCAUUGAAAAAAAGACGUGACUCUUGAAAAAUUGGCACGAAAGAAAUUUCUAGGAAAAUUAGCCCAAGAUCCAUAUGUGGGAGAUUUUGAUGAUUCGAGUACAUCCAAGUGUAUUUUUGAUAUCAAACAUCCUUUCAUGAGCGACAUUGAUGAAUUUUAUCCUUUGUCGGAUUUGGCCCAAGAGUUUGUGGAAUUCGUUAAGGAUGGGAUGAAUAUGACACGACGCCCCAAAACUCUGUAUCGUGACGGAAAAAAUGAUCUCCUCGAAGAUUUUGUUUUUGGCUCGUGUCAUAUAAACAAGAAGAACUGGUUCGAGGCGCUUGCACAUAGUGGUCGACCUUUAAAAGACACGCAUUUGGAUGUCAUAUUUUACUAUCUGAGGAAAAAGGCAAAAUAUGGACCUAAUCUUGCCGUAAAGUUUACUACAACUAGCUUUUAUUUCAACAAGAAGCUUUAUUUGCUUUAUAUGGAGUUUGAGAAAAAAGGUCAAGAUUUUUCUGUGAUCCCAAAGGAGCAUGAAGUAGAAGAGUACAUUAGAGGUUGUUGCUGUGAUGCAAAUGUAGCUUGGCACAAAGUUGAUCAUGUGUUAUUCCCGAUUUAUGUCGAUCUGGGAAAAUCUAAAUUGGGACAUUAGGUUUUGAGUGUCUUUACCUUCAGUGAUUGGUGUAUCCAUGUGUACGAUUCCCAACGUGAUUCAAAAAAUGAUAAACUUGUUAUGAAAACUCUGUUACCUUACAAAACAUUGCUACCAUACUUCCUAGAAAAGUCCAAAUUCAAUGUUAAGAGGGGCAUUGACAAAACUCAAAGUGAUGCUUUGCUGAUAAAUCUGGUUGAUAACCUACCACAACAAAUCAAUAGUGAUUGUGGAGUUUUUGUUGUUGUCCUUGCUGAUUAUUUCAUGCAUGGUAAAGAAAUCAAAAAAGACAAUGUUGACAUUGAGUUACAUCGCACCAGGUAUGGAUCACUGUUGUGGCAUUAUGGAAGAAAAAAACAAAAGGCCGAUGCAACUAGCGGGACUAAAGAAGUUACUGGCAGAUGGUUCAGAAGGAAAAAGAGAAAAUGUGAGGAAAAGUAGUGGCUGCAUAUAAUUGCUUUUUGAAUUUUACUUAGAUGUUUUGAAGCGGUAAUGUAAAGUACAAAUAAUGUGAUUUUUAGAAGGGAAUUUGACUAAGCUGUUUUGAUGCAAUACUGUAAAGUACAAUGAUGUUUGCUAAUCAAUGAAAUGCACUUUUAUUGUGUA